This 952-nucleotide long non-coding RNA is filed under the name Homo sapiens (human). RNAcentral describes it as "lncAB8.1". Lineage: Eukaryota; Metazoa; Chordata; Mammalia; Primates; Hominidae. The record is from RNAcentral.
CGUGAACACAUCUAGGUGGAAUGCAUCUGAGACUAAGGGCUGGUUUUUAAUCCUCAUAAGAAACCAGCCUUGAAGAAUUAACAAUUCUCUUCAUUGGUAUUCUAAACCUCCUAAGAUAUUUAGGCUUCUGUACAUAAAAGUGUUUUUGCUAAAUUUACAGUAUAUAUAGAUCCUUUCAUAUUAUUUUACUAAGAAUGUUUGAACUUUGCAUAUUUGACAUAGUUCCUGGUAGGAAUAGCACAGCUCAAACAUUAGUUUUUCUACUUACCUCCUCUAACACGUGGUUUGUCUGGAGAGUUUCUAAAAAUUCAGCUAUAACCCCAGUUCAUGUAUUUACUGGUGAUUGUUCUUGCUGAGGUAGUAACAGCCCAAUCUUGGGCUGUUAAAUCCUAGGAAAUCUCGAAUCAUAGUGAUUAAAAUAGUUGGGGUAAAGUUGUAGCUUAUAUGCAAUACUACUUGGAGGAAUUCUUUUACUAAUUUGUAUUUAAUGUGGAAAUUGUAUAGUUUCAUUGAUUUAAUCAUAAAUAAUGGAAAUGGUCUUCAAGAAGUUUUAUUUCAUUUUUUUGCUUAUACACUCUGAUUCCUAUAAUACAGUGCUAUAAGCUAUGCACAGAAAAUAAAAUGUUUGAAAUCCAAGAAUAAUGGUUCUUACUGCUAAGAGGGAGUAAUAGUUAUUACUAAUGAUUUUGAUUGGGUUGCAUUUUUGUUGCAAUGUUUAUUCCACUUGCAGUUAGAAUAUGAAUAUGUUUUAUCACUAAUGUGGCUAAAUAACCAAACAUUUGUGUAAAAAAAAAAAAAAAAGCCAAGAUUUCAUUGUUUGUUGAAUAUUUCUUAAGCAUCUAGCCCCUAAAGAGACUGCUUCUUACCAAGCCUGUAAACUAUGCAUGAUGGAAAUUCUUGUAUUUUAUUUAGGAAUGGCUGUUGGUUUACUUACCACAUCUGUGGAAUCAUG